GACGAACGCUGGCGGCGUGCUUAACACAUGCAAGUCGAACGGAAAGGCCCUGCUUUUGUGGGGUGCUCGAGUGGCGAACGGGUGAGUAACACGUGAGUAACCUGCCCUUGACUUUGGGAUAACUUCAGGAAACUGGGGCUAAUACCGGAUAGGAGCUCCUGCUGCAUGGUGGGGGUUGGAAAGUUUCGGCGGUUGGGGAUGGACUCGCGGCUUAUCAGCUUGUUGGUGGGGUAGUGGCUUACCAAGGCUUUGACGGGUAGCCGGCCUGAGAGGGUGACCGGGCACAUGGGGACUAAGAUACGGACCAGAAGCCUACGGGACGCAGCAGUGGGGAACAUUGCACAGUGGCCGGAAGCCUGUUGCGGCAACGCCCCGUGCGUGAAGCCGGCCUACGGGUUAUGAACAAAUGUCGACUGUGACGAAGCGUGAGUGACGGUAAUGAGUAAAAAAGCAACGGCUAACUACGUG
This 468-nucleotide ribosomal RNA is filed under the name uncultured bacterium. RNAcentral's name for it is "partial 16S ribosomal RNA". It matches the Rfam family "Bacterial small subunit ribosomal RNA", at positions 28 to 507 of the family's 1533-position model. The record is from RNAcentral.